RNAcentral lists this ribosomal RNA (253 nucleotides) under uncultured bacterium. RNAcentral describes it as "partial 16S ribosomal RNA". It matches the Rfam family "Bacterial small subunit ribosomal RNA", at positions 524 to 776 of the family's 1533-position model. The record is from RNAcentral.
UACGGAGGGGGCUAGCGUUGUUCGGAAUUACUGGGUGUAAAGCGCACGUAGGCGGCGCAUCAAGUCAGGGGUGAAAGGCCUGGGCUCAACCUGGGAACGGCCUUUGAUACUGAUGUGCUUGAGUCCGGGAGAGGGUAGUGGAAUUCCCAGUGUAGAGGUGAAAUUCGUAGAUAUUGGGAAGAACACCGGUGGCGAAGGCGGCUACCUGGCCCGGAACUGACGCUGAGGUGCGAAAGCGUGGGGAGCAAACAGG